GAUUAACGCUGGCGGCGUGCCUAACACAUGCAAGUCGAGCGGCAGCGCGUUUUUCACUGAAUUCUGGAGGCUUCUAGUUGAAAGAGAAGAUUUAUUCAAGCAUUUUGUGUAAUAUGUCGGCGAGUGGCGGACGGCUGAGUAACGCGUGGGAACGUACCCCACAGUGAGGGAUAACGCAUCGAAAGGUGUGCUAAUACCGCAUAUAGUCUUCGUAUUAAAGCCUUCGGGCGCUUUGGGAACGGCGUGCGUAAGAUUAGAUGGUUGGUGGGGUAAUGGCCUACCAAGGCGACGAACUGUAACUGGGAUGAGAGGAUGAUCAGUCAGACUGGAGCUGAGACACAGACCAGACUCCUACGCGAGGGAGGAGAGAGGAAUCUACCACAAUGGGCGAAAGCCUGAUGGAGCAACGCCGCGGGUGGGAUGAAGGCGUUCGGGUUGUAAACUGGUUUUAUAAGUGACGAUUAUGACAGUAACGUAUGAAUAAGGACCGGCUAACUACGUG
RNAcentral lists this ribosomal RNA (502 nucleotides) under uncultured bacterium. Its description in RNAcentral is "partial 16S ribosomal RNA". It matches the Rfam family "Bacterial small subunit ribosomal RNA", at positions 28 to 507 of the family's 1533-position model. The record is from RNAcentral.